This 96-nucleotide transfer RNA is filed under the name Colletotrichum chlorophyti. It matches the Rfam family "tRNA". Rfam says of the family: Transfer RNA (tRNA) molecules are approximately 80 nucleotides in length. Their secondary structure includes four short double-helical elements and three loops (D, anti-codon, and T loops). Further hydrogen bonds mediate the characteristic L-shaped molecular structure. tRNAs have two regions of fundamental functional importance: the anti-codon, which is responsible for specific mRNA codon recognition, and the 3' end, to which the tRNAs corresponding amino acid is attached (by aminoacyl-tRNA synthetases). tRNAs cope with the degeneracy of the genetic code in two manners: having more than one tRNA (with a specific anti-codon) for a particular amino acid; and 'wobble' base-pairing, i.e. permitting non-standard base-pairing at the 3rd anti-codon position. Lineage: Eukaryota; Fungi; Ascomycota; Sordariomycetes; Glomerellales; Glomerellaceae. The record is from Rfam by way of RNAcentral.
GGGCGCUUGGUCUAGGGGUAUGAUUUUCGCUUCGCAUUUCCGAAAGGAGAGCGUCUCAUUUGUGAAAGGUCGUGGGUUCAAUUCCCACAGUGUCCA